This 290-nucleotide ribosomal RNA is filed under the name uncultured Lachnospiraceae bacterium. RNAcentral describes it as "partial 16S ribosomal RNA". The stretch from base 52 to 290 matches the Rfam family "Bacterial small subunit ribosomal RNA", at positions 100 to 339 of the family's 1533-position model. Lineage: Bacteria; Bacillati; Bacillota; Clostridia; Lachnospirales; Lachnospiraceae. The record is from RNAcentral.
AAACACCUUAUUUGAUUUUCUUCGGAACUGAAGAUUUGGUGAUUGAGUGGCGGACGGGUGAGUAACGCGUGGGUAACCUACCCUGUACAGGGGGAUAACAGUCAGAAAUGACUGCUAAUACCGCAUAAGACCACAGCACCGCAUGGUGCAGGGGUAAAAACUCCGGUGGUAUGAGAUGGACCCGCGUCUGAUUAGGUAGUUGGUGGGGUAACGGCCUACCAAGCCGACGAUCAGUAGCCGACCUGAGAGGGUGACCGGCCACAUUGGGACUGAGACACGGCCCAAACUCC